GAGGGUAUAGCUCAGUGGUAGAGCACUUGCUUAACACAUAUGAGGUCCUGGGAUCAAUCCCCAGUCCCUCCA
RNAcentral lists this transfer RNA (72 nucleotides) under Camelus bactrianus (Bactrian camel). It matches the Rfam family "tRNA". Rfam says of the family: Transfer RNA (tRNA) molecules are approximately 80 nucleotides in length. Their secondary structure includes four short double-helical elements and three loops (D, anti-codon, and T loops). Further hydrogen bonds mediate the characteristic L-shaped molecular structure. tRNAs have two regions of fundamental functional importance: the anti-codon, which is responsible for specific mRNA codon recognition, and the 3' end, to which the tRNAs corresponding amino acid is attached (by aminoacyl-tRNA synthetases). tRNAs cope with the degeneracy of the genetic code in two manners: having more than one tRNA (with a specific anti-codon) for a particular amino acid; and 'wobble' base-pairing, i.e. permitting non-standard base-pairing at the 3rd anti-codon position. RNAcentral also lists the same sequence under 2 other names. The record is from Rfam by way of RNAcentral. Lineage: Eukaryota; Metazoa; Chordata; Mammalia; Artiodactyla; Camelidae.